RNA transcript from Motacilla alba alba, 4782 nucleotides. It is a transcript of the gene named lysine-rich arabinogalactan protein 19-like, with no coding region annotated. The transcript is spliced from 3 exons. NCBI's taxonomy places the organism in Eukaryota, Metazoa, Chordata, Aves, Passeriformes, Motacillidae. The record is from RefSeq and is a predicted model, not a curated record.
CGGAGGAACGGCGGAGCUGCGCAGCCGGUUGCGGGUGGGCCGGCCCCAGUUGCUGACUAAUCCCGGGCUGAGUCACGGUUGCGGCGGGGAGCGCUGCGGCAGCGAUUCCCCACCUCCCCUUCCCGAACCGGAGAGCCCCGACGGGGCGAGCGCCGGUGCUGCGUGGGGGAAAAAAAAAAAUGGGGGACAGGAGGGGGACACCCCCAUCGAGCAGGGGGUGGGUAAGGCGUUUUGGGGAGUUCUAGGGGGGUGGCAGCGCCUUGGUCGGUGGAGAGUGGGGAGGUGCCGGUGGGGUUGGGAGGGGUUAAUUCUCUGAGGCGCUCUGCAGGAAUUUGGGGGUGCGAGGGGUAAGGGAGCGGGGGGGUGGUGGCUGGAGGCCCCCGUGGCAGCGUGUGGCCUUGCAGCAGCGCGGCCUUGCGCAGCGGCGGAUGCUGGCGGGCGCGGAUGCUGCUGUCAAUGACAACGCCGCUGUUGCUGUGGUUACCGGUGUGAUGCUUCGCCAGAGCAGAGUGAGGUCAGACGGCUCCAGCAGGAGUGGGGGGGAUGCAUGGAUGGAUGGAUGGACGGACGCACAGGUGCAUAAAGGGGGAAAGGAUGCUCACAAAUCCCCCUGGAUAUGACUCUAGGCCCAUCUAGGGGGGGGAGUGCUGCCACUUAGGAAGGAGCAAGGGGCCAAAAUUAACUCACCCAUGAAGCCACAACCUUCUUCUGUAGCACUGACAGUUUUUGGGGGACCCAGCCCUGGUGGGAGUGAGGGCCAGGCUGCAUUGUGAGGCUGGAGGGGUCAGGGCAGCACGGUGCUGCAGUGGGUUGCUCACCUCAUGCAUUCCAAACUGGCCCCCCACCACUGCUUGUGCUGUCCCAUUGUCCUGCAGCGCGUUGGGGUGGCACCCGUGGGUGCUCGUGACACUGCAAGGACAGGGGGUUAUGAGAGAGGUGCUGCUCAGGACAUUGUUGUGGGUGGGGGAUGCAGGUGGGCAGGGGGCACCCCCAGGCUGGUGCUCGGGUCUGGGGACCCCUGUGCCACCCCUUGCCGUGACGGGGGGCUCAGACAGCCCUGAAUCAGCAGCCCCGUGGUGAUGCCACGAGCCAGGAAGGGGCCACGUUCUGGCCUGGCAGGGUGGCGAUGGGCACCCUGGGCUCCCGUGGGUGCCUCGACGGACCCCUUGUGUUUGGGGCAGUGGGUGCCCCACGCUGCACUCCCAGGGGGACAGGACACUCACGCUGUGUCCCAGUGGGUGCACGGCCCCUGGCUCUGGCAGCAGGUGCCGAGGGGAUGUGGGGUGCCGGGUGCUGCUCCACUGCUCUCCUGGAGCAGCCAGGGAAUGGGGGGGCUCCGGAGGGGCCGGGGGGAGGGCCGGGGUCCCGUUGCAGCCCGGACCCCCUGCCCGGCUCCGGGCCGCUGUCCUCCCCCCGCGCCGAUAUAAAUAGUAGCGUCUUCCCGUUCCCUAAAUUUCCUCGCUGACGUAGCGCUCACGUCAUUGUGUAGGUUGAUGCUUUUCUAUGAAUGAGCCGAGAUCCCCGUUACUACGAGCCCGAUCCUAUAAAAGCCCCGCGCGCUGCGGACAGCGCAGCACCGACACCGGCGCCGGCCCCGCCGGGAGCCGCGGGGCCCCUGCCCGGCCCGGCAGCCGCGGGGCCCGCAGGAGGUAAGGAACCGGCUGGGUUGGCCCCCAGACACCGACCCCCCCACGGCGGACGCCCCCCCGCCUUCCCGCUGCAGCCCAGUUUUUCUUCCAGAGUCCUUAAAAAUAUCCUGGAUUCCUGACACAGGACUUGUCUUCCAACGCCGCUUCCAAGCCGCUGGGCCCGGGGCCAGCCGCCAGCGCCAGGGGACAGAGGCUGUCCAGCUCCCGUGCUCCUCCUCAGCGCAGAGACCGCAGCGGUGCCGGGAAGGAAUGUGGUGCCAAGGAGGAUCACAGCCCCUGCCACGGCCUCCUCCACGGUGGAUUGGUGCUCAGCAGGGCACAGGCACGGCACAAACAGUGCCUGACCUCGGAACGCACCCAGCGGCUUCAGAGCGUGGCCCUGUGCACAGCCAGGAGGGUGGGAAGGGUCUGCCUGGCACCUCCAAGCCAUGACCCUGCAGAGCCCGGCGGCUGAGGACAGGGGUGGACACUGCCUCAGCGAAGGUCCCAAGGGACUCUCCUGGAUGGGAUUUCCCUGCGCAUCCCCAGGAAAGCACGUGGCCCCAGAAAACUUCUAGACAAAACCUCUCCUGGCUUUGCCGAGCGGCAUCCUGGCACCGUAGGAAUUUAGGGUGGGCCCGGGGGGGCUGAGCCAGCAAAGCUGGUAGGGGCUGCAGGAAGAGGUGCUGCUGUUGCCCCCCCAAAGGCCGGGCAGGUGCCCACUGGCCCCACACGCUGUUGCUGCCAUCUGACAGCUCUUGGCAAAACGGCCUUUUGUGAUUCAGCCGUGUUUAUCCCAGCCUGCAGCCCGGCCCAGCGUGGGUUUCCAUGGAAAACUUCCAUCCAAAACAAGGAGAGAGAAGGAGCUACAGCAGGAGUGACUCAGCCACAACUGGAAGCUUCUGCGAGUGAAGCAGGCAAGGGGGGGCUGUUCCCUAUGGCUCGGUCCUGCUCCAGCAGCGGGGCCCAGGCAUGGUCCCAGCCGUCCCCUGCCCGUGCCACUGCCACUUCGCAGGCAGGACCUUGGCAGGUUUGGGAAAAGCCUCGCUGUAAAACCAUCUGGGAAACACACCACCCUCCCGGAGCGCCCCCUCCCCACGCCUCUGGCAGGGCCUGCCAGCCGGGACAGAGGAGGAAGAGCGUGAGAUGAGUAAGGCUCAAACCCUGGCACGAGCCGCACCUGAUGCCAGGCUCGGCGGGACGUCGCUUUUUCCAGCGCUGCCCACAGGAGCCUCUACCUGUGCCUGGUGUGCCCCACGUGGGUGGCUGGCAGGGUGGGCAGUGGCAGUGGCCUCGAGGUGGCAGUGGCACAGGGGAAAGGCGUGCGGGGAUCUGGGGAGAGGUGGGAAAACAGCCGGGAGUUUGCAGGGAAGCAGCAGCACUGGCAGCACUGGUGGCACCUCUGCUCAUGCCAGGCUCCUCCUGCCCUCCCUGGGACACUGGGGCAGGGCUGGGGGCUCUGCUCAGCCAGGGAAGGGGCAGCAAAGCUCUGCCUGGCCGAGCCCUGGACUCCGUGCCCACAGCAGGCUCCUCACAAGCAGGGCCACGGCCAGGGUCCUUCCUGUCCUUGAGGUCACACAGGUGGCUCCAAUGGCUGCACUGGGGUAUGGAAAGGCACAUCUGGGGACAGGGUGACAUCCCUCUGCUGAAACACCCAGGCUCCAGCUGCUGCUGCUAACACUGGUGAUUGUCCCCAGGGCCCUCUUGUCACUUGCAAGUGGCACAGCUGCCACCCAGAUCCCGGGCUCACUCCAUCACCCCCUGUUCAGCAACAGCAACUGGGCCACGCUGUUUUGGGGGAAAACCAACUCCCCUGGGCCACGCCAGGUGAUGGAAAAGGAGCUCCCAGCAUGAAGCUGAGUGAGGGGUGGGAGGACAUCAGCCAGUCUUGUCUCCCGGCUCACCUCUGCGGGCAGCCAAGUUCUGUGGCUGCAUCCCAAGAGCAGACCUGGAGAGGCAGGGGCCAGCCCGAGGGCAUCCGGCCAGGAAAGGAGGGAGAGGGCAGGAUUCCCACGGCAAACCCCUCCGAGCCGCUUCCCUCCUCCCACCACACCGGGACCUCCCUGCGCUGCCCACACAGGCACCUCCUGAGGACAAAGGUCGCGUUUAUCUGCUUUUAUUAAAUUUAUUUAAACCGCUACAGCAGACACCCGGCAGGAGCCACCUUGAUGCAGACCCCGGGAAAGGGGCAGGAACUGCAGCACCCCAGUUCGGGUCACCCAUCCCUCCCCACCCCACCAGCCUGCAGAGCUGGGACCGUGCUGCUCACUCACCGCACCCUGAGCUUCUUCCCGUUCCUUCCCUCUUGCCAGGAGCUGCCGGUGCCUCCCUGUGCCCGGGGCCGCGGGGCCGCAGUGCGGGCGGGCGGCCACAGCUGCGGUGCCUCCCCCGCGCCGGGAAAGCACCGGGAGCUCGGCGACAACCGAACACCUCCCGGGACUGCGAGCGUCCCUGCCCGGCGGCGGGGAGAGAGCGGGGACAAAGGCUCCGGGGCGCUGUCACAGCUGGUCGCUGUGCUCGGCCACAGCUGCAGCCGGGCGUGCAACCCCAAAAACAGCCUGAGGUGUCACCGAGGGGUGCAGACACCCCACGCUUUCACAUCAGAUGUGACACAGCCCACGUGGAGCGGCACGGACGGCCAGCACUGCCCGAGGCCCCCAGGGCAAAAGCAGAGCGGGUUUGGGCUGCGGGGAAACAGCCACAUCGCCCUGCCAGCAUCACCACCGUGCUGCAAACCGGGGCAAAACGCGAUGGGGCUGAGAGCUGCUCACUGCUGCCGUGGGGCUGAGCUGCUCCCUGCUCCCGUGCUGCUCUGGGGCUGAGCUGCUUUAACCCUCAGCACUGCCAGGCCCGCUCCCAGCUCAGCGAGCACAGGAAGGGUUUCAGCAGCACAGCGUCCUGCAGCCCUGCAGUGCUGACACUGCGCUGCCCUGCUGCUCAAGCAGGGGGAAAAUUCACUUUUUUCACUCAAUUUCCCUCUUUUACCAGCUCUACACCCCCCAAGGAAAGCUGUGGUUAGAGAAGCUCUGCUAGCUCUCCUCUCCUGAGACUGGUGCCCAGUGCUGAGCGGGGCAGAAGCUAAGCAGGACUCCUGCAACUGUUACAGCAAUAAAGAUUUUCCUGAGCUUCUGGAUAAGAGAGCCACAAACAGCGA